UAGACUGUUCAUGACACAUAUCACGGUGGACAGUGUUUGUGUCCUUAUUACAAGCAACGAGAGAUGCUCGUCACCAACACGCGCGCGCACAGAUGCACGACAUACAUAUAGUAGAGACCAACAGAUGGUCGUCCCAUAUGGUGAACAAUUUAUUGGAGAUAAAUAUUAACGUAACUUGGCCAUAGCUUGAAGCAUAGCAACAUAUGCCUAUGAGUGGCAUUCAUGCUAUCGUUUUAGGCUUGUCCAGCUCCUUCCAUCUUAGCAAGCACUUCCAUUUCUACCAUCUUAGCAGCAACUGUCAAAUUGAGAUACGGAAAUCCCAUUAGCGCAUGAGUUAAUUUUGCAGUGGAAAUAGAGUACAAGAUGUCUUCAUGAUGUAAGUAAUAUGCCUGAAGUUGUGAGAUGGGAAGUGAAGUCAACAAAUUACAUUAACGGAAAUGCAUGGAAGGCCACACAUACGUAUUAGUCCAUGAUAUGCUACAAAGCUUGUAUGUACAUAUAGCAAAUUAAAUGCAUUAAUUGAAUAGAGUGUGUUUAGUGAAUUUACCAGAAUCGUCCAGAAAACAUGGGAAACAGCAAGUGUUCUUGCAGACUGCGUCGGAGGCACCCGCACGAAUACAAAGCUGACAACAUAGUUUUGCCUGGGCGGAUGCGCAGCAGCCGCACUCCGCCGCGGUGGGGUUAACAUUGAGGCUCAAGAUGACCAGGCACAUGAUCACCAUCAAAGUGGUAGUCCUCUUUCCCUCCAUUGCCUCCUCUUAGCUUGCUGCUACCUUCCUUGGUUACCUAGCUAAGUUUAUUGGUUUUGUGUUGAGAGGUGUGAUUCUUGAAUGGACGUUGCCGGCGGCAAUUUAUAGGCAGCUGAGCUAUGUGAUGAUAUGGACUAGGUGCAAAUGGGUGGUUAAUGGCAAGGAAAGGGGCGUCAGACAAAGCCCAAUGGCAACUGCUGACAUGCGAUUAAAUUCAGAUCCACAUCCGGCCAUUCAAUAAUACGGUUGGAGUUGUGGCACAGAUAUAUUAUUGCAUGAUCAUCAAGAUAAGAUCGUACAGUGACUGAGUGAGACAAUAAAUAGCCAAGUAAACUAUUUUAUCCUGCUGCAAGCUGCAUUCAUAAGUUUAUUUCACCUUUGAUCACAAUACUCUUCACACACGUACGUCUCAGGGAGAUCUCACUUCCGCUGGACUGCUCACUUCCGCUGUCGUCGGUACUGCCAAAGACAUAAGCUCACAUCUGCUAUUGCGGAGCAGGCCAAUUUGCUGCGGAACUUCGGCGACGACCUGAAGGACAUGAACUCGGUGCUGGAGUCCAUCUCAGCAGCGCUCUAGGACGCUGACACCGGUAGAAAAACGACCUUCCAUCGUCAACAAAAAUCCCGGUAGCUUUUUUACUCGGUACUAAAGAGGUUUUAAUCUCGUGCAAACACCUUUAGUCCGGAUUGCUGUUACCACGCAACCCGAACUAAAGCGUCCCCCACGAGUUACUAUAUAAGGAUUGCAUCCUUUACUCAGUCAGAUAUAAUGUGUAGGUGAGAUGGUAAGGAAGCUAUACGUGAGGCUUCAGGUUGUGGGUUCGAAUCCAAGGAGAAGUGGGUGCAGCUGUGGCUUAAGCGGCUGAGGCACGCCGCCAUAGACAUCUCAGAUUUGCUCGAAGACUACCAAGACACUAGUGAACCCUUAACAGUAAAGGUGAGUACUUAUGAAUGUCAGCAUCCAUGUUGUCCAUGCUUCCAAUGUAAUAACAAGAUGGACUACUCUUCCUAGCGGACUCUUCACAACCACUCGUAAAGCUAUACGUUUCUCAAUGCAAUUUCGUAGAAGCCAAUCGAUCCAACCAAGUGACUAAAUCAUUCAUCCUUUCCAAUGAUGUGCAUCAGGUUUUCUACAUGAAGGGCAUCUCUAGCAAACCCAAGAUUUCAGAAGAAAAAGAAAAAUCAUUGGAGCCAAAGAGCCACAUAGUUCUUCCAGGAAAAAAAAAUCAUGGGAGUCGAGAACAAAUCAAACCAAUCAGAGGAUUAUGGUCAGCUUAAUGGCAUGCCUCCAUUCGAUGUCGAAGUUCACCCAAGCAUCAUGUUAGCCAAACAUCAAAUGUUCGUGCGUUGUUACGGUAAAGAUCAAUUGUGUUUUUUAAACUCAUGGAAUUUUUUUUCUAAGUUUUUAUUACACUUAUUGGAUGUCUACACAUUUGCUAGAAAACCAAAAUAAUUUGGACUUAAUUAUUUCUUUCAACUGAAGUACUCACUAAAUUUCUACCUUUUUAUUUAAGCAAGAGAGUUGCUAAAAAAAAUGGAUACAUAACCAUGUUGUAUCGUACAAAGCAACCACAUUUCACAUAUAGUCCGGCUUACCAAACACCAUUUUUUACUGAACAUAGCGUACAUGAGUUAAGAGACAUGGAUUUAUUUCUAUUGCAAGUAGCAUAGCGUACAACCUGCCUGCACCGAUGCAGCUCAAUAUGCGAUAAUUUUUAUCUUCCCAUGUAAUUUUUCUACUCUAGUACAUAUUGAACUCCACAUUAAUGUCAUGUUCUUUGGCGCCCCAGACGGUUCCUAAAGUUUGGAAACAAAAUAGAUAGCCAGAAAUUUUUUUAAAAAAUAUUUAUAUGGAUAUUUGUAUGUUCUUUGCAAACUAACAAUAUUGUUUACCAAUAUCAAAAGGAAUAUGGCUAGGAGCCAUUGCCGCAUAUGGCAGGUGAUGGUAGAUGGCGUAUGGGAUUUCGUUAAUUUAAUGGUAUAAUAAGCUGAAAUACAUUUUCUAUUUGCAAAUGAAUCAUAGCUGAAAGUGGUGAGAUUGUUUUUUCGCCGGUUUAGCAUCCUGUGCACCGGUUCAACUGGAGGGAAGCGGUUCACCGAGACGGAUGACAAUUUUACGGCAGAAUCAUUACUUGUUUUAUUAUUAGGUGAAGAUUUUAGCUUUUAGGUAUCUCACAUUAACAAUCUGUUUCUAGUGUAUAAUGUAGGAGACCCGUAAAGAGUCUACACACACAUAUAUAUGUUGACUAUGAAUGUAAGUUUGUUGGUUUUAUGUAUGUUCAUUUGGAGUUUAUAUAAAUUUUACAUUUUAUAGUUUUGUGUAUAUGACGAAGAUCCAUGACUUGCAUUAAUUUAACCUUUCUUCCAACAACUCUUAUGCAUGCUGUUUCUAGGGGAGCGCACUGGUUGCAAUUUUGGUCCCCGAUAUAGCAUGAGGACUUAAGGGAGACGGGCACGUCGUAACCUUAGAUAUUUUUGCAAGAAGCAAAUUAUACUUUGCUUUUGAUUUUCUCCAUGCCAUUUGCUGACUCUUAUCCCUUUUAUUUAUCAUUAUAAGAUGAAAAUAUUGUAAAAACUUGGUUACGUGCGGUCGCAGAAGCUAGAGACUAUUUCUUUUUUUAAAAAUACGCAAGAGGGAGAAACUUGGUAACAGCUAGACAGUGAAGAUCGCAUUUCAUAAGAAAGAUGGUGCACGUUCUUGUUUGGCUGUUAACGAAAUGACUUCGUUUCACCACACCACCAGAGAGCCCCAUUGCACUUGCAGCAAAAGCGUGGAGCCGCUUUCAACCAGCGUGCAAUAAUGCAGUCCCGCGUGUCUUGGUCUUACAGGAUAUUUGGUUCUUUAGUCCGGACUAAAAUUCAUGUCGCAUAGAAUAUUCAGAUGUUAAAUAGGAGGACUAAACAUGAGCUAAUUAUAAAAAUAAUUACACAAAUGGAGGCUAAUUCCCAAGACAAAUCUAUUAAGUCUAAUUAAUCCAUCAUUAGCACAUGUUUACCGUAGCACCGUAUUGUCAAAUCAUGGACUAAUUAGGCUUAAUAAAUUCGUCUCGCAAGUUAGUCUCCAUCUAUACAAUUUGUUUUAUAAUUAGUCAAUGUUUAAUACUCUAUCUAAACAUUCAAUGUGACUGAAAUUUUAGGAGGUCCUAAAGAACCAAACACCCCUUAGUCUCCGCCUGAACUAUAGCAGGUGCUGGCAGCGGUAGCAGGGUCGUCCAUUAUAUCUAUGGAUGGAAAUGAUCUGAUUCGGAUGGAAUCGAAUUCGAAUAGCACUUUUUACCACAUACUAAUCUGAAUUGGAUGUUCUCGAAUGUGAAUGCAAAACGGAUAGUUCAAAUUUGAAUACUUUGCGGAUUUUUGCAUAAUAUUAAUCGAAGAGAAUUUGUUAAAUUUAGCCGAGACAUAAAUUUUUCUAAAUUCAAAUACUUUGCAGAUUUUCGAAUGCAAAUUUUUUCAUACGAUCUCGGUUGAAUACAAACUUUAUAUCAAAGUUGUAUAUUUAGAUUAUAUAUAAAACUUUGUAGUUGACCUCCUUUUCAUUUAAAAUUUUUUAAUAGCUCAAAACAUUAUUCUAAGCUUUCUAAUUUCAAAAUCUUGAAUUUUAAAUUUUUCAAACGACCUCGGAUGCAAACAAGCUCUAUAUCAAAGUGCUUAAUGAGAUAUAAAAUUUUGUAGUUGACAAGUUUUUUAGUUGAAAACAUUUAGUUAUCACAAACAUACAAGUUCUUCAUUUGAUGUCGAGGAUUGGAAGUGUUGAGUUUGAAGAAUAUAUUCUUUGAUUACAAACUUUUCCAUAUGAUCUUGGAUGAAUACGAACUUUAUUUCAAAGUUGCAAAUUUAGAUUAGACCAAAAACAGUAUAGUUUACAAUUUUUUCAUUCAAAAUUAUUUAGUAGCUCAAAAUGUUAUUCUAAACUCUCUAAUUUUGAAAUCUUGAAUUUUAAAAUUUUCAAAUGACCUCGGAUGCAAACAAGCUCUAUAUCGAAGUGGUAGUUCUUAAUGAGAUAUAAAAUUUUGUAGUUCCAUCUGAGAUCAUUUAACAGUCACAAAUAUACAAGUUUUUCAUAUGAUGCUAAGGAUCAGAAAGAUUAAGUUUGAAGGCUGUAUUUUUUUAAUACAAAUUUUUGCAUACGAUCUCGGAUGAAUACAAACUUUAUAUCAAAAUUGUAGAGCUCGAUGAGAAUUUAAACUUUGUAGUUGAUAUAUUUUUCAUUCGAGAAUGUUUAGUGGUCCAAACAUGUAUUAUAAGUUCAGAGAAGAAACACACAAUCGGCCACGUCAUCAAUUGACAACUUCCAAACUGAGCAUUCCUAUUGGUUCACACCUUUCCCUUUCAACUCGUCAAGCUUAUCUCCUCCCACUCCUCCAUCGUUCACUCCCCCUUCCCCUUCCUCUCUCCCUCCCUCCCUCCGCUCCAGCAGUGGCAGCCCGACCUGCCUCCUAGGACGGUGGUGUGCGGGGCUCGGGCAUCCCUGGCCUCUAGUGGCGUGGCAGGGCGGCCUCCAGCAGCGAUGGCGGAACUCGGCCUCCGGUGGCGCACAGGCAGCGCAGCCUACCUGGUCAAAGGCGGCGCAACAGGGCGACCUCCCCAGCCUCCGGCGGCGCGCAGGGCAUCCAUGACCUCCCCGGCCUCCCUUGCCAGAGGUGGUGCGCGGGGCUGCGCCGACCUCCCCAACCAGAGGUGGCAAGGCCCCAGCUUACGGCGGCGCGUGGCUCCCCAGCUAGGGUGUGGUGGGGCGGCGGCAAGUCAGGCGUGGCCGCGUGGGGGUGGGGGGAGGGGGUUGGGCUGGGCGGAUUCAGAUAGUAUCCAUUUAACCAUCCGAAAUGUGGAUAUCCGUUUAACAAUCCGUUUAGCAAAACCGAAUUUGGAUACUUCCACUUAAGUAUCCAACUAGGAUUCGAAUGCGGAUGGUCCUACCAUAUUGUUAUUUCAGCGGAUACGAAUAUGGGAUAAUUCGAAUAACGACUUACCCAUCCCUGAUUAUAUCCGUGUAAAUAAAUAAUUGCGGCAGCAGGUUCCCGUCGCCACGCCCCCGUCAAACCAAACAAUUGCUUGCGCGACACCGUGUUACUAGAUCUUGUACAGUACUCCCUCCGUUGCAGUACUCCCUAAUGAAAGUUGAGAAUCGAUCGACAACCACGGCUAGUUGCUAUGCACUCGAUCAGAUGGUCCAGGCGCCCGCUGGUAAUCAGGUCGUGGUUCACGCGCAUCAGGCCAGCUAUGACGUUGCCAGCAGUGCUCAGUACACAAAUCUAGCUAUCAGUCGGAUCCAAUUGGGCAGGCAUUUGCACUGUGGUUGUGUUUGAACCUGUAGAUGUCGUUGUCAUUAUCAGGCACCAUACAUCCUCUCUCAGAGGGUGUUUCACCCCCUAAACUUUAGCCCCUCUCACAUCGAAUGUUUUAGAUACUAAUUAGGAAUAUUAAACAUAGAAAAUUUACUAAACCCAUUACAUGGAUGGAGGGUAAACGGCGAGACAAAUCUAUUAAAUCUAAUUAGUCCAUGAUUUGACAAUGUGCUGCUAUAGUAACUAUUUGCUAAUGAUGGAUUAAUUAGACUUAAUAGAUUUUUCUUGCUGUUUAGCCUCCGUCUGUGCAAUUAGUUUUAUAAUUAAUUCAUAUUUAGUCCUCCUAAUUAGUCUCCGAAUAUUUGAUGUGACACGGACUAAACUUUAGAUAGCACACCAGGGACCGACACCAUGCAUGCUGAUUUCAUAUCAUAAUUAAGGAAAGUGAUAUCAUAAUUAAGGAAAGUGGUAGCAUCCAAGAAAUCGAUCAUGUUUCUUCCCCCUUUGGCUUUCCUACUAGGAUUUGGAUAGCGGGCCUUCCUACUAGGAUUUGGAAUCCGCUAUCGCAUGACUAUCUUAAUUAUGUCCCAUAGUCCAAAACUCACAAAACAUCAAAAAUCCAUCGAGAAUAAAUUAAGUAAAAAACAUGCGCACACAGAUAAUAAUAAUAAUAAUCAUGUUUCAAUAAAAUUGCUAAGAUUAGAGAUAGUACAUAAACAUAUUAGAUUGUUCGUGACACAUAUCAUGGUGGAUAGUGUCUGUGUCCUUAUUACAAGCAGCGAUAGAUGCUUGUCACCACACACACGCACGCACAGAUGCACGACAUACAUAUAGUUGAGACCAACGGAUGGACGUCCCAUAGGGUGAAUAAUUUAUUGGAGAUAAAUAUUAACAUAACUUGGCCAUAGCUUGAAGCAUAGCAACAUAUGCUUAUGAAUGGCAUUCAUGCGGGUAGCAAUGCUAUCAUAUGCUUUUAGGCUUGUCCUUAGCUUCUUCCAUCUUAUAGCAAACACUGCCAUUUCUUCCAUCUUAGCAGCAACUGUCAAAUUAAUUGAGAUAUGGAAAUCCCAUUAGCGCAUGAGUUAAUUUUGCAGUGGAAAUAGAGUAGAAGAUGUCUUCAUAAUGUAAGUAAUAUGACUCUGACAUAGGGAGUGAAGUCAACAAAUUACAUUAACGGAAAUGCAUGGAAGGCCACGCAUAUGUAUUAGUCCGAUAUGCUACAAAGCUUGUAUGUACAUAUAAUAAAUUAAAUGCAUUGAAUAGAGUGAUUUUAGUGAAUUUACCUAAAUCGGAUUAAAAAACAUGGGAAACAACAAGUGUUCUUGUAGGGCUUUGUUUAGUUCCCAAAUUGGGAGUAGCAAAGUUUGCAUUUUACCAUAAAUGCGCAACUAUAGCAUGUAGCAUUUUGUUUGUAUUUGUGAAUUAUUAUCCAAACAUUGACUAAUUAGGCUCAAAAGAUUCAUCUCGCAAAGUACAACAAAACUGUGCAAUUAGUUUUUGAUUUCGUCUACAUUUAGUACUCCGUGCAUGUACCGCAAGUUUGAUGUGAUGGGGAAUCUUGCUUUUCAAUAGUGACAAAGUUGGGAUUUCGGGGGGAAGGCCUGUGUCGGAGCCACAUGCAAGAAUGGCUGACAUUGAGGCUCAGACAAAGCCCAAUGGCAACUGCUGACAUGCGAUUAAAUUUAGAUAUCCACAUCCAGCCAUUCACAUUUAUGAGAUAUGGACACGGUGCAAAUGGGUGGGGUCCUGAUAUGGAGGUGCGAAUGGCUGUCUACUUGUAUAGUGUAGCUCCAAUGUACGUAUAUGUAUCUUAUGCAUGUAUACAGUUGCACAAACUCUGAACCAACUCUUCAUAACAGGUCUUUGUUACCAAGUAACUUUACUUUUGCACGUUUCAGCCGAGAGGUAGAAGAGAAUAUUUUUGCAUUUUCCAUGUGCGUCAGUGGUAGAGAACUAGGAAUUAGUUCCGGAUGGUAGGGCACAAAUCUUCCAAACAACUAUCCGAAAUUAAGCAAUCGAGAUAAAGGGUGCCAUCUAUUCUCUCCGAAAAACACAGGUACCAAAAAGAAGAAGAGAAGAGGGAGGGCCUCCCGUUAAGGCCCGCUCGGGGUCUCCAUCCCACCACGCGCCCUCCCAACCCAAAGCCCAUCGUUUUCCCUCCGUCCCUCCCCUCUCCAUUGCCGCCGCCGCUCCCCUCAUCCGAGCUCGAUACGGGUGGUCGGCGGCCCCUCCUCUCCGCUCCCGCCCCCGGCCUCCCUUUGACCGCCGGGCGCCGGCAUCACUGCCGCGGCCAACCCCAGGGCGCAGCGCGUGCCUCUAUUUCUCUCCCCCGUUCAAGGGCCCUUUGAUGGCGACGAGCACCCACCCACCAGGUAUGCCCUCCCCUUCUCUUCCUAACCCUAAUAUAUUCGGAUCUCACCCAGUCACAAUAUAUUACCUAAUAGCUUCGAUUUUGUUUGCAAAAAUCAUCACGUGCGCACCCAUGUCCGCUAGAUUCUUGCGCCUGAUCCUGUGCUGCUAUGGUUUGGGCGGGGUAGACUAGUUGAUUCGUGCACUUUUGGGUGCUUGUAGUGCUAGGUUUUGGAGGGGGAUAGCCCAGUUGAUUCCUCCGUUUUGGGUGCUCAUGGUGAUAGGAUUUGGAUGGGGAUAGCCCCAAUGAUUCGUGCGCCUUUGGGUGCUGGGGAUAGUUUUGGGUGCCUGGAUAGUCCAGUUUCAAUGUCAGUAUAUGCGUAUUUUGGGGAGAAUUUUGUUUUGGGUGGUUCUGGUGCUAGAGUUUCUGAUGCUUAGUAGCCCAGUUUCAAUCAAAUUCCCCCAUGGGUCGUGCACUACGGGAAACAAGAAAAUUGCCGAGUGUAUUUUUUUUGUCGAGUGUUUUUUUUCGAGCACUCAGCAAACAAGCUCUUCGCCGAGUGCCAAGUCAAAAACACUCGGCAAAAAAAAACACUCGGCAAAUCGGGGCUUUGCCGAGUGUCAAAUAAAAAACACUCGGCAAAGAAGGGGGUUUGCCGAGUGUUAAAAAAAACACUCGGCAAACAGGAGGGUUUGCCUAGUGUUUUUUUGACACUCGGCAAAAAAAUAAUUGUUUUUCCUCUUUUCACCUUGAAAUUUUUUCUACUCCCCACAUACAACACGUGGUACUCCAUGUUAAAAUUUGGUAUAUUUUUGGAUUUAUUUGCUAUAUUUAUUUAAUUAAUUGCAUUACAAGGAAAUUUUUGGUAUAAGUCAAAUUUGAACUGCAAGUGAUUCAAAUUGUGGAACAAAAUGAGUAGAAAAAUGAUAUUCAUGUUAUUUGGCUCAAUUUGAGACCUGACCCAUGAAAUGAAAAGAAAUUUCGAACAUCUUGUUCAGGAAACACGACAAUGAACAUGUGGCGGUAGUAUUUUUAAAUUGUAAAAAAAACAAGCAAAGUCUGAAAAUCAUGAGAUUUGUAGUUAUGUGAUGAUAUAAUACGUGGAAGCUGUGGAAAAAAAUUGGAAAGGUUUUGCACAUUUCAUCAUGUACGAUGAUUACAAACCGAAGCAUAUCAGAAGAAGAAUAGUAACUUUGAGAAGGAUUCGAUAAAAUUUAGAGUCGAAGUGACGGUCGAGUUCGGUUUGACUACAAAACUUUUUGUAUAGUCAGUAGAGAACAUAUCUUAUUUCGUGUGAAAAUUUGGUAUUUUUUGAAACUGUUGGAUAUUUUUAAUUUUUUUUUAAAAAAACUUUGCCGAGUGUCCUAGGGUAGACACUCGGCAAAGAAAAACUUUACCGAGUGCCCGCCUAGGACACUCAGCGAACCUUUUUUUAAACCUACCGGCUCCGGCCGGCCCAGCCCACAAACACCACCCGCCCCCCGCCCCCGCGCCUUCUUCCUCACGCCGCCCCCGCCCCCCACCCGUGCCUCCGGACCGCCCCCUCCUCCCCCUGGCCUCCCCUCACGCCGCCCCCCUCCUCCCCUAGCUCCCUCCACCGGCGGCCCUCCCUCCCCCGGCGCACAUCCUCCACUCCUCCUCCCCUUCCCUUCCCUCCCCUCCCCUCCCCUCUUCCUCCCCUGGCCGGAUCUGGCGCCCCUAGCUCCCCUUUCUUCCGCGGCCAGAUCUGGCGCCCUCCCGGCGGCGGGUCGUGGCGAUCGGGGCGGCGGCGGCGGAUCAGGCCGCGGGGCGGCGGCGGCGGCGGGUCGUGGCUACCGGGGCGGCGCCCUGCCCCUCCCCUCCCUCUCCAUCUCCGGCUGCCGUCCACCCCCUCCCCGGAUCCGCCCCCCUCCCCUCCGCGCGGCCAGCCCCUCCUCCCUCUCCGGCCGCCGCCCCGGCCCCUCCUCUCCCUUUCUCCGGCCACCGCCCCGCCCAUCUUCUCUGGAUCCGGCCGGAUCCGGCCGCCGCACAGCCCCUCCUCCCCGGAUCCGGUGGGCGCGGACUUCGUGGUGGUGGCGCCGGAUCCCUCCCCUCCCUCUCCAGAUAACUCCCUCCACUCCUCCGCUCUUCCCCUCUCUCGCGCGGCGGCCUCUCUCCGGCCGCCGCCCCGCCCCUCUCCCCGGAUCCGGGGGGGGGGGGACUCCGCCCCUCUGCCCCGGAUCCAGCUCCCCGACCCGCGAGUGGGGCGAGCUUGCUCAUGCGGUCGACGUCGAGGCCAGGGUGUGGUGGAGGUGGUGGCCGGCGGGUGUGGUGGUGGUGGCGGCGGCGGGCAUGGCGGCGCGGAGGCAAGGCACGGCGGCCGGUGGGAGGCACGGGUGCAAGGCGUCGACGGCAGGAGGCAAGGCACGGCAGCAUGGGAGGUGGUGCUGUGGUGGUGGUGCUGGCGGUGGUGGCGGCGGCGGAGCAGGAUGUGGUGGUGGCGGAGGAUGUUUUUUUUUCAAAAAUUUGUUGCCGAGUGUUUUCUCGGCACUCGGCAAAGACUUUACCGAGUGCCCGACACAAAACACUCGGCAACUCAGUGUUUGCCGACUGAAAAAUUGCCGUGUGCCGUUUGCCGAGUGUUACACUCGGCAAACGGUUCGCCGAGGGUUUUUUGCCCUUCGCCGAGUGCCCCUAGCACUCGGCAAUUUCACUAUCUCCCGUAGUGGUGGCUGGACUUAUGGGGGGAUCAUUGAUGGGGGACUAGUUGGAUACUUUUUGGCUGUUUUGGGAGUCCUUGGCAGCGGCUUCUCAGGGCGUACGUAGCCCAUUGUAGAUUCCAGCCGAGAAGAUUAAGGAAUUGUGACUGCAACCAUGUUACUUUUCUAGGACUCUGUUUCUGAUAUUGUUCCCGCUGCAUCUUUUCAUCCCCAUGGUGAAUGUUGCUGUUGAUCUGUAGAUUGGAUUUGUUCCUCGGUAGCUUUAUUAGAUUUGUGCUGAAUGAUAAUCUCUGCCUGUGAUAUUUUUCUUCAUUGCGGAUGUGUGCCGAGUAUUAUCCCCUUUGUUCAUUCUGUUGGCUUUUUUUAUUGUCUCUGUACUCGGCUGUUCAGCUUGUGCAGCUAAUGAUCUAAUGUAUUUUGUCGUAACUAUGUAUUUUUCGGAUGUGUGCCGAGUAUUAUCCCCUUUGUUUAUUCUGUUGGCUUGCUUUCAUUGAUCUUAAGAUAACUGGUGCUAUAAAUUCACACUAGCUGAUGCACUUGCAAAUAGCUAUGUAAAUAUGAAAAGAAGUAUUUUUUUAUCCUUUUGUUUGUUUGGCAUCAUAUCUGUUUAAAUGGCAUAGCAAUAAGAAUUUUUUGUUUUUGGGGAAUCAUAUCUGCUUAAAUGGUAUAGAAAAUGCUGAGUGCACUGUCAAAUAGAUUUUCCAGCAGUCUGCUUUCAGUUGUUUUUGCAAAUCCUCACAGGCCAGUGAACUGACUUUGUUUUUACCACCCCAUGCCAUUUAAAUGACUAAAUCAGUCAGCCUAAUACUAUAUAUGGUCAUGCUAUGAUCUUAUUUCUUGAAGCUCUAUAGGUCAACCCAUAAGGGUAACUUAGUUUUUCCUAUUCUGGCUGGGGAAGUGGAUACGAUGGCUAUCCUUGGUAGAGUUAAAUACAUUGGCGGCUCUUAGCGCGCCAAUGUGGCACCACAAUAUCGAACAUAUGUAGAAACCCCCUUGUUUUUUCUCAUAUCCCUCUCUCUCAGCGUCCUCUUCUCUUCUUCUCCUCUGUCUCCUCCCCUCCCAUCGCGUGCUUUAUUGCGCCGCCGCCAUCCGCCUCCAUGUAUGAACACGUCGUUUGUCAUGAAGAAGCAGUUGAUGAGGCAAUCAAGCAUGUGGUGCACAAGGUUCUUCUGCUGGCCAAGUCCGAGUCGAACAGCCGCGCAUUCAUUGGGGAAGCACGCGCCAGGCAUCACCAGGCUCCUCGUGCCCCUACUCUGCUCCAAGGACUCGGUGCUUCGACGCGCUGCUUUCCCUGUCCGGCGAGCGGGGAUCGUUGGGAGAUGAUCGAUGGAGGAUGGAGCUGAUCCUCCUGUACACGGUGCCGGUGGGGAGCAGGGAGCUGCGGAGCAGGUCCACGGGCGGCGCCAUUACAGCAGGUGCAGGCUAAGGGUAAUGAGCAGAUCGAGGCGAUGGAGGAGGACCCGCACGAGGUGCAGCUUCUUCGCCUCCUGCGCAAAGUCAGCGCCCAAGCAGCCGCUGAGGGACAGGCCGAGGCUUAGCUCGAUCUCAUCCGACUAAAUGGUGGCUGCACUCCCACAGUCCCACUGGUGCUCCUCCCUUCUGUCCGAACCUGCCGAGGAAAUCCCUCGAUGCCAUGGGUCCCGGCUGGACGACUACUCCUCCCACAGAUUGACUGAGGAAGAAGAGCUUCUCAGUGUCCAAAAAUUCAGUUACACUGGAAACAGCAACCAAUUACGUUCUUCCGGCUCAGCCAAGCCCCAAUCUCCUUGCUUCUGUGCGCCCCUGCUAAAUAUUCCAGAAACCAAUCUGGUUAGUUGUUUUUUCACAUUUUCAGUGCAUGCCGGUGCUGCUGUGUGCGGCAUGCAUGGAGUUGUCGUGGGAGUGCACGGUGGCUUAGCUGGUGCGCCAGUGCGCGGGCACGAACACAACGGUGAAGAUGGCAGGGCCAUCUCAAAGCUCCUGAGCACCUGCACGCGUCGCUGAGCAGGACAUGCUGCGACGGUGGGCGAGCGCUGCUAACGCCCUGGGGAAGAGCAGUGGGUGCAGAGAGAGGGAGCGAGGGAGAGGGGUUCUUGUAUAUGUUUGCUAGCGUGGCACCGUUUACGGUGCCCGCCUAAGUGGCAUUCACGUGUCAUUCAUCCCAAAUGGUGUUGCAAGGUUGAACCUAUUGUGGGAGGCUUUUGGUUUCCCUUGACAGUAUCACCAGUGAUAUCACUGCGUUCUGGUUAUGUAUGAAACACUUGUCCUUUUAAAACCUUUCUGAAUUUAGAAACGAAUUUGAAACAUUACCCUCAUUUCCAUGUUUUUCUAUCUUUUGUCCCUGUAAAAUCAAACUAAAUUUGAAUUAUUAUGUUCAGAACUACAAGCUGAUUUACUUGUCCCAUUUGCUAAUAACAGGGCCUUGUGAUUUCUAAUGAACAUUGCAGAGCAUGUUAUAAAGCGUAUGCAUGAACACCAAGGGGAUGAAACCAUUGGUAUAUUUCUCACAACCUUUUGAACUUAUCAUUUAGCAUAUUUGUGUUCUAGUGUGACGUUUCAGCCACGAGACAUGAGAAAUGUUAGCUAUGGAUUUUGGUUAUUCAUCAUGGGUUCACAGAUUUGUUUUUCUCUAAAAGAAUUGGGAAGUAGCUUUCUUUCUGGGUAUAUGUGGGGAAAUGCAUAUGCAAUCUUUUAUUUAUUGAGGUGACUGUAAAAUUCUUGUCUGACUGAAUAUGCGAUUUCAACCUACAUGCUAUACUUAGGGAAAUUUGUGAAUCUCCUAAUGUCUGCUGCAUGGCAUGAAUGCAUAUUUUACUGGUCCAUAAUGUGAAGUUCUGUAUAUAAACUUCUCGUGUUGACCCUUUAGAACAUGCUAACUGGAGAGUUUUCUAGAGUAGUUAAACAAGAGAUUUAGUUAAAUCUGCACACAUAGGUGGGGCCUGGCAUACCCUAAGAAUCGGCCUAGCCGGUCAGCCCAUUAGUAAAAAAAAAAGCACCGCAGUCAGCAGUCCCCACGUUGGUCUUCCUCGAGUCGCGACUCGCGAAGCUCCCAUCCUCCGAGUCCAAGAUGGUGGACUGUGUCGAGCGCGGGGCGGGCGAUUAGUUGCCCGGCCGCCGGCGGGGGAUGGCCGGACGGCCAGAUCGCCGACUCCUCUAGUCCUCCCUCCAGCCUCUGCGCUUCUUUCACAGUGGAGCUAGCGGCGAGGCGCCCGACCGACACCCUUCUUCCCAAAUCCCGGCAGCCCUACCUCGAUUUGGCCUCCUCCGAUCAUUUGAUAAUCAAUUUGAUGAAAUUAAUAUGGAGUUGCUUUCUUGUAUGGUUGCCUUCAAUCCUGCUAAUUCAUUUGCUUCAUUUGAUGCACAAAAGAUACAUAGACUUGCUAUAUUUUUAUCCACAAGACAUCACAAGCACGGAUUUGCUAAAACUUGAAUUCCAGCUCGAUAUUAUAUUGAUGAUGUGAGAUAGGAUGAUAGUUUCAAAGGCCUACAAGAUCUUGUUAACUGAGACUCAGUUAAGCUUGUUGAAACAAACAGGCAUAAUAUUUAUGACUUGGUUUACUUGCUUCUCAAAUUGGUAUUGGUUCUUCUUGUGGCGACAGCUAGUGUUGAAAGGGAUUUUUGUGCAAUGACUUUGAUCAAGAGUAAGCUAAGAAAUAAGAUGGGUGAUAGUCUUUUGGAUGAUUGUCUUAUCACAUUCAUUGAGAAAGAUAUUUUCUUUGAAGUGGAUGAAGAAGAUAUAAUUAAGACUUCAUAUCCAUUAGAAAUCGUAGGCUGGAGAAGAAGUAAUAUUUUAAUUUUCUUUGAACGUUAGGUCUGUAAGCUUCUUUUAAACUAUCUACAUUAUAAUUUAUGGACCUUUUAAUUUAACCGUUGAAUUCAUGAUAUUAUGAGAUUUUUUUAUCUAUGUUAUUAUUGUUUACCGAUUUAUUACCAAAUUAUUAGUUUGAUCUUACAAUAUUGUAUUUUGGAUGAUUGGCUCGGCAUACUCUAAGUUUAAAUCCUAGCUCCGCCACUGUUUGCACAUUAAUGUGGCUUAUAUGUGUGGAGUCACUUAACCUAUGCACUUGGACCUCCACUCCCUUAGGUUUUAUGAACCUAAUUUGACAGCCUGCUCGUCUUUUAUUUUCUACCAAUCAGCUAGGAACGAACAUGGUGAUGUUUGCAUCUCUGCCAUCAAUGGCUUACAUGUCAUUAUGUAUCACAUUAGCAAGUCUUGUUUUGUUAUUGGCUGGGAUGACGGGGACUCUAGCUGGAAUUGAAUCAAAGUGGUAGAUCACAGGGUAUUCAUUGCCAUGUAUUUCUGCAGUUGCAUGGACUUGCAUCAAACGGACCUUCCUACUUAUGUGAUUGUCCUAUAUGAUCUCCUUUGAUUUCAUUUGCACACUGUAAUCACAUUAGCUAGAACACUCGCUUUUUGCUUCAAAUUUGAAAUUCAUAUCAUGAUGGACUAGAACGCUGAAUUUCUUGAUUGCUGAGUUACUAAUCACAUUGUGGCGCUGCCAAAGAAGCUGGACUCUUCAUUGUUGUUGCCUUGUGGGCUGCCGUGUGCAAAGAACAAGAGCGCACGGUAUUAUAAUAGCAGAGCAGAACACAGACAAGCGACAAGGAGCGGAGCAGAGCAGAGCACAGCCAGGCACAAGCAGUAGAGUAGAGCAGAGCAACCGGGAGAGGAGAGGGCACAUAUGCAGAGUAGAGCAGAGCCAAGCGCAAGCAUUCAUGCACUCAAGCAUGCAGCAGAGGUGUAGCAAGGCAAGCACAAGCAGCAGAGCAGAGGGAAGGGAAGGCUGGGAGAUGAAUAGGCGAAUAGUUACCUGGACAGAGCAGAGGGAAUGGAGAUGAUGCAGAUGCUUCCGGAGACUCGAGAUUUGGAGAGGAACAAGGCCACGUUGUGAACAAGGUCUCCUUUCUCUUCUCUAUUUCCCGCGCAAGUACUUGUGCAUAGUGGCUGCCUCAUCCUCCAGGACGUCCACUUCAACCUGAGGCGGGUGCCACAGACAUCCUGGCUAUGCGACGGCUACCCCCAGCACACCCCCGGCGCCUAUGAACCAUGAUCCUAAUACUAUAAAUUGUCAACCUUGUAAUCUUAUUUCAAGCAUGCUCUCUAUGUCAACCUGUAAGGUUAACUUCGUUUUUCCUUUUCUGGGUAGGGGAGUGGAUAUUGCUGUUAUUUAUAUUAUGUUGAUAUUGGUUUCCACAUGUCAUUCACCCCAAAUGUGUUGCAAGGUUGAACCUAUCAUCGGAGGAAUUUUUUUCCCUUUACCUUUAUAUCACUACGCUCUGGUUAUGUAUGAAACACUUGUCUUCUUAAAAACCUUAAUUUAGAAACAAAUUUGAAACACUAUCUUCAUUUACAUCCUGUAUGUGUUUUCUACCUUUUGUCCUAUAUGAUCUGCUUUGAUUUGAUUUGUGCAUAGUUUUUUCAAUUCAGACCUGGUGAUUUCUGAGGUUCAUGUUGUGCUGAUAAGCAGCCUACUAUUCAGUAACACUUUCAUGUGGCAUGUUCAUGUUAGCUAGCUAGAAACACUGCUUUUAGCUUCAAAAUUCAAAUUCAUGACAUGAUGGACAUUGACAAUGAAUUUCUUGAUUGCCGAGCUAUGUACACUGUAAUUCAGACCUGGUGCUUUUAGUUUUUUUCUUGAUUGCCGAGCUAGAAACACUGUGCUUUUAGUUUUUUCAAUUCAGACCUGGUGAUUUCGGUUUUUUCAAUUCAGACCUGGUGAUUUCUGAGGUUCACGUGUCACACCGAUUUUAAGAACAAAAUCGAGUGCAUUAAAUAUACAUGUACGCUAGGAUCAGGUUACACACAUGUACGACAUAAGCGAAUAUCAAAGACAAUGCCAUAACGAAAUAAAGAGAGUAUUAAUCAUUAUUACAUGACCGAAAGUCUCAAAUAAACCACAAAAUCUAUUUAUUACAUAGCGGAACUUCUAAGAUAGCAACGUCUCCACAGGCAGCUGACUGAAGAACUGUAUGCCUAGAACUCUUCAAAAUCGUGCAGGUACUCCUCCAGAUUAGCUUGGUAUGAACAACGGUUUUGCAAGGGUGAGUACACUUAUGGUUGGUACUUAAUAAGUCGUGGGAAACAAUGUAGUGUAAGGCAAAUCAAGGUAUGGCUAAGGCUUAAACAGCAUCAGCUUUUAAUUUAGUUGGUCAAAUUUUAUUAGCAAUUAAUUAGACGUAAAUUUAUACCACCCGAAAUUAAACAAGAACAUGAAUAAAAUAAUAACAUAACCAUAAAUGAAAUGACAACAAUUUAAAUCCAUCUUUUCAUAGCAUUAUCAUGUGAGGGUCCAGUCCGUUCUUAACCGUGAGCACCGCUGAUCGAUCAGUUUUACACUCUGCAGAGGUUGUACAUCUUUACCCACAAGUCGCGUAAAAGUUCAAAAGAAUUUUGGACCCAACCAUGCGGUAUUUGCAAGGCACCAUACCACACUUCCAAGGUGUGAUUGCAUAUGAACGCUACGAGGCCUUUACAAAGAUUCAUUAGUAAGUGGUAACCCGCUAAGGUUUCGGUAUUUGGCGUGCACAACCUAUCACAGGCCGCUAAUGCAACGACUCAGUCCCCCCUCUUGCCUCAUCACGAGUAAGAUUACCCCAGACUAAGGUUUCUAAUUAUUCAGCCAAGAUCAGAACCAUUUAGUCUUGUGGUAGCACUGUUUUCCUGGGUGGUUCUCCAUGUUCCGAUUAAACAUAAUGGUCUUGUAUUAAUGGAAGGUAUAACAUAAAUAAUACCAAAUUAAUAAUAAUUCAGAUUAAAUCACCAUAACCAUAUUUGAGCACUAAGCAUGAGCUACCCAACAUAAAUUUAACCCGGUUGGUCAAGGCAAGGUAGAUAAAGUCUAGGAAAUUCUUAAUUGGGACCCAUCAAGUUUAAAUUAUACUUUGCAUGGUAUGUUGCAUAGAACAUGAAAGUAAAUGUGAAUAGGACUGAAAAGGAGUGAUUAGGGACACGACUUGCCUUUUUAACCUUGUUCUUGCUGUUCGUACUCUUCGAAAACUUUGAUCUUCAAAUCCCUUGAACUGCUGACCGUCUACACGCGUCACACGACCACAUACAAGCAAACAAAUAUAAUACAUAAGAAAACAGUACACCAAUCAUAAUUAAAUAGAAGAAACAAAUUUGAAAAGCUAUUCUACGCAUUAAAACGAAAACACGGAUACAAGGAACGUUAAAAACGGAGCUACAGUGCAAAAACUACGCUUAAAACAAGAUGCAGGGGUAUAACUACGAGAAACCAAACUUCCAGGGAUUUAAUUUUAAAUAAUUUUGAACUGCAGAAGGGGCAGCAGGGCAAAACGUAGAAAAUGCAGGGGCUUAAGCGCAAAAGCAUGGCUGCUGACUCAGCUGACUUGAUGUGGAUCGUCGGAUGGCGAUCCGGCGGCCGGCAGCUGCUGCGCUGACGUCAGCGACGGCGAGCGCCGGCGAAAAACGGCAGUUCGCCGGAAUCGCCCGGGAACGCGCGACUGGGUGCAGAUUUGAGCGAGGAUUAGACUAGCAGAUAGAAACGAGCGCAGUGAACUCAUUUGGGAUGCCUACGGCGAGGACUUGGCGACGGCAUCGGCUCCGGCGAGAACUUGCGGCAGGGAAACCAAAUAAAAUAAAAUAACACGGUUCAGAGAAGCGGCGCUGGAGGAACGCGAGCGAUUUUGCGUGCGAGCGGAAGAAAACACUGCGAGGAAGAUGACUGCGGGCCCUGCUUGUCUGCGGCAGGAGGAGAGCUGCGUGCGAGAAGAACCUGGCCACGAUCUGGGCCGUUGCCUUCGAUCUGGGCCGAGGCAAGCUAGCUGGCCCGCUGCUGCGGAAAGGUGCUGGGCCACGGGCGGAGCACAGCGUCGGGCCAGAAAGGAGAUGGCUGCUGCGAGGAAACAAAAGAAAAUGAACUGGGCUGCGACAGAGGAAAACUGGGCGUCGGCCAGAAAGAAGCUGCGUGCAGCUUGCUCUUGUUUCCGAACUAGAAACAGGAACUGACGGAAAGACAGAAAUCAAUUGGAGACUGAAACUGACGCCCCAGACUCUGAACUUCGAAAAAACAGGACAACCAGCCAACUGACAGAAAAAAAAAAGCUUAACAACCCAAAAGCAGUACACAACCACGAAACCAGGCCACAAGACUGAAAAAGCUUGAUAGGAACAUCUGGCGACUGAACCAAAAAACUACAGAACUGCAACUGAAGAACUAGAGAACAGAUAAAUAACUGAUUGAACUCUGAAACUGAAACACCAAAGAGCAGGAAGCUGACUGACGGAAAAUGCAAAACAGCAACCCAAGGUGAAACACAAAUUCUUCUUCAAGCAUUCAAACAAAGAGAUAUGCAACAGCAUGAAUGCUCAAUAAAAUCCUAUAUUUCAUUAAUUAAUUAGAAAAAAUGCUCAAAUGCCUAGAAAAAUGCAAAAGUGACCUUAUAUGCCUUAAACAAGCAAAUUCGUUUCUAGCGAUUUUUGGUAAAAUGCAAAAUUAGAGAUUUUGGGUGUUACAUCAUGUUGUGCUGAUAAGCAGCCUACUAUUCAGUAACACUUUCAUGUGGCAUGUUCAUGUUAGCUAGCUAGAAACACUGUGCUUUUAGCUUCAAAAUUAAAUUCAUGACAUGAUGGACAUUGACAAUGAAUUUCUUGAUUGCCGAGCUAUGUACACUGUAAUCACAUUGUGGGGCUGAUAAAAUAAGCAGCGUUGAGACACAUAACAAUUGAAUCUUAAGCUUCACACAGAAUCUGGACCAGUCAUCCUCAUUCCUGUCAUGCUGGAAAUGUCUUUGAUACAUUUCAAUCACAGGCAAUUGAAUUCGUACUGGGGAGGAUGGCAAUGGUGCAUGAAGAGAGAUCAAUGUGGCAAAUCUCACAUUGUUCAUUACCAGGUAUCUCCGAUUUCUGGUUAUUUUAAAUUUACCUUGACAUGUGACUUAUUGAGGUAUUGUAUUUCAUCUAAUGGUAGUUCUGAAUUUAUGGUAACCUUGGAUGGGGUUUGUCACUUUAUACACGCACGGACUUACAAAGGACAGCAAAUGAGUAUAUUUAGAGGGCUCCUGUCCAACCAUGGACUAUACUUAUGUACCCUUUUUUGACAUGGUAAUUUGAGGUUAAUGGAAAAGUAGCGAUAGUCGCCUCCAGCGAAGCUACCUUCUUCGAAAGCUCCGAGGCUGCUUUCUCGCUCUUAGCAAGCCGAUCCCUCGUAAUCAUCGAAGAGUAAGAGACCUACAGAUUUUAAAAACCAAGUUACCAAAAAUAACGAAGUAAAAGACAACACUCGCAAGACAAACCACCAAACUAUCUCAUAAUUGUACCUUCUUUACGAGGUUCGCCUCCAAGUUAAAGAGCUCUUCCAAGAUCAUUGACUUCACAGCUUGCUGAAAAUCUAUGCGCCAAAGGAUAUAGUCGUAAGCAUAAAAUAAAAAUUGGUAAAAACCAAGGACAGCAAAGCCAUCUACAAGCUGUUCUUACCCUCAUACUUUCGCACCUCAACGGCGAUCGGAACAACCUUCUCUCUAGCCUCGCCCUUAGACGCCACCACAAUCUUCCCGCCACACAAAUCCACAACCCCUCCUUUACCUUUGCCCUCUCCCGAAGUCGUCGUGCCCGCCUUCUCCACCCUUUUUGAACCGCCAACAUCUGCAUAGCGCUCGCAACCUUCACCUUCAGCCCCCCAGACCAAAGACAGGUUGUGAGGAUUAUAAACCCUACCUUCGGCGCAUGUAGCUAGAAUCUCCGUGCGCCCGCUCAAGCCCAGACACUCAUUCAGUCCCUGAAGCCCCGCCGGCAACCUCUCACCUACAUCAUAACAUUCAACUUUUAGCCUCACAUGAUCCUCACAACUAACCUUACCAACGCCCCCCAUAGUUUCUUCCAAGUCCUUCAAAAAUUUCGUUGAGGCCUCACCACAAUCAAAGAACCGUAGCAUCGAUAGAAACACCUCUACAUGCUUACCAGAUCUCACAGCUUCGGCACACCCACCCUUUGGAUCAGAUGAGAACGCAUCCACAAGCUUCGCCUUUUCGGUGGCAAACCCCCUCUCAAGUUUCCCAACAUCAGUCAAGAGAUGUUGCGCGCUCUUAAACUUCGAGCUUAUGGAAGGCACCGUGAUCUUGGUACCAGCUGCCGAAGACGCGUCAACCUUGGCACCCGUAACAGUAACAGGAGCAAAUCGAGGUUUCUUGGCGCCUCUUUUGAUCCGUGCGGCGGGCCCGGUGGAUGAAGGUGCAAGAGCUGGAACCUCCUUAGGAGGGCGCAUAGAGACAGGAACAACAUAUGCCGGAUUGCUCAAGUCGCCAGACGAAGCUGUCGACCACGAUGGCAACAUAGCAGACGAAGCCCCCGCGGUCAUUUCCUUCCUUUUUUGCGCCUCCAAAUUCAAGGUCUUUUGCUUCGCCUUAGCGGUCACUUGCAAUUCAAUAGUGAGCUUCACCAUGGGUACGAAGUCAAAUUUUGCCUUUUUCCUCUGCUCAAGACUAGCACCGCGACGGCGCCUCUUGCCCGUAACUUUGGGGUGAGGCAGAACCACAAUAUCAUACAAGUCAAAAAUCUAAGAUGAUGACAUUCCAUUUGUAUCCAUGAUUUAUAUUGUGUUCCUUGAAUAUCCAUUAAAGUCUACUUGAAUUGAUUUGCAAUUAUGUGAAUUGUAUGUGAAACUCUUUCCUUGUAUGGUUAUUCUAAAGUUGUCCCUAGUCGGAGUUCAUGUGAGGACACAUGAAUAUUAGACUAGCACAUGUAUUAGUUGAUGACUAUGUUUCACAAGUCAUGGACAUGAAGAUGUGGAACUAAUAAUGUGGGCACAUGUGGAGACACGUGCUAGGACUGACCCAACACGAGAAGUAGUUCUCUCUUUAUACAACAUAUACGCUUUGUCCUUAGACCUGAGAUUGUCGCAUGUACUCAAGAUGUGGAUCGACUUACUUAGGGGCUAUCAAAUUCUACGCCGUAACAGGGUAGUUAUAAAGGUAGCUUUCGGGUUUGUCAAGAAGCAUGCUAUGAGACAUGGUCAAUCAAGAUGGGAUUUGCCCCUCUCUGAUUGAGAGUGAUAUCUCUGGGCCCCUCGAGUGAUCGGAUCCGAAAAUGCAUGGCCAUGCUACAUACGAUUAAGAGUUAGCCUACAAAAGGAUUCCGAAUCAUAGGAUCGAGAAAGAGCGGUCGGCUUGAAGCUAGACCAAAUAUCGUGAGGCAAAGGGAAUAGCAUGUAUAUAAUGUUGUGAUGGUUCGUCUGAUAUGAUCUUCGUGUGCGUAUAGGAGUUGGCACGUCUUGCUAGAGGUCGCUACCGACUAUUGGGCCGAGUAGGAGUACUCAGGCCAUGUCUAUACGUAUCCGAACCCAUAGGGUCACACACUUAAGGGGCUGGAAGCCCAAUUCGGAUGUGAUCCGAAUUGGAUUAGGUUUAGAAGUACUAAUGGGCCUUGGACCUAGAGGCCCGUUAGGAACCUCUAUAAAUAGAGGGGUGGGGGCGCCCUAGGGUUUACACCUUUUUGGUGAAACACAUCUGCCGCGCCUCCCACGCCUUCGCCUGUUGCAACUCGCGGACCUAGCAGUCCGGCUUGCGACGCUUCCUCCCUGCACGUGUGGAUACCUUGGAAGUGUUGCUCCUGCAGCACUUGGACGAGCCGCCAACGAGCCACGACGAGCCACGAUGAGCCGACGAUGAGCCGCGGCACGAGGGGGAUCUUGCUGCACGUGGACGAGCUGCUGAGGAGCUGCUGGACGUCGAUGUGUUCGACUACGUACGACUACGCUGAUCGACUUCGCUGCAUCAACGCGAAUCUACAUCUUCCGCAUCAUUGCAUCGAGUGGUAAUCCCGUGAUCCUGAUACGGCAGUUUUCCUAGUUUACGCGGUAGAAAAUUUUGUUUUGUGCUAGUGUAGCCUAACUCAUAUCCCAACAACGUGUGCUAUAGGUCACGCAAGCCUGAAAAUGGCCACACCGGACACCGGGUACGAAAACAUGGGGGAUGGACCGAACAUUUGAAAAUGGCCUCCAUAUGUGUUUUCGGCUAUGAAAAUGUGUGUUAUAGGUCACAGAAGCUUGAAAACGGCCGCACCAGCCACUAGGGACGAAAACGUGGGGGAUGGACCAAAGACAUAAAAAAUAGCCUCCAGACGCGUGUUCGGCCAUGAAAACGUGUGGUAUAGGUCCUGGAAGGCCAAAAACAGCUACACCGGCCACCUGGGACGAAAAAGUUUGUGUAAGACCGAACACUUGAAAAUAGCCUCUGGACGCGUGUUCGGCUAUGAAAAGGUGUGUUAUAGGUCACACGAGCCCCAAAACAACCACAGCGAACACCAGCUACAAAAACAUGGGGGAUGGAUCGAAUAAUUGAAAAUGGCCUCCAGACGUUUGUUCGGCCAUGAAAUCGUGCGUUAUAGGUCGCGGGAGCCCGAAAACGGCCACACCGGCCACCGGGAAUGAAAAUGUGGGGGAUGGACCGAACAAUUAAAAAUGGCCUCCGGAUGUGUGUUCGGCCAUGAAAACGUAUGUUAUAGGUCACGGGAGCAUGAAAACGGCCGCACUGGCCACUGGGGACGAAACGUGGGGGAUGGACCGAAGACGUGAAAAUAGCCUCCAGACGCAUGUUCGGCCAUGAAAAUGUGUGCUAUAGGUCAUGCAAGGCCAAAAACAGCUGCACCAGCAACCGGGGACGAAACCAUGGCUGUCAAACCGAACGCUUGAAAAUCGCCUUCGGACGCGUGUUCGGAUAUGAAAACAUGUGUUGUAGGUCACGCGUGCCCGAAAACGUCCACAACGGACACCGGGUACAAAAACGUGGGGGAUGGAUCGAAUAACUGAAAAUGACCUCCGAACGCGUGUUCGGCCAUGAAAACGUGUGUUAUAGGUUGCGGGAGCCCAAAAAUGGCCACACCGGCCACCGAGGAUCAAAACGUGGGGGAUUGACCGAACAAUUAAAAAUGGCCUCCGAUUGUAUGUUCGGCCAUGAAAACGUGUGUUAUAGGUCAUGGGGGCCCAAAAAUGGCCGCACCAGCCACCAAGGACGAAAAUAUGGGAGAUGGACCAAAGACAUGAAAAUGGCCUCCAGAUGCAUGUUUGGACAAAAGUGUGUGCUAUAUGUCGUGCAAGGCCAAAAACAGCUACACCAGCCACCGGGACAAAAACGUGGGUGUUUGACUAAACAAGUGAAAAUGGCCUCCGGAAGCAUGUACGGCUAUGAAAAUGUGUGCUAUAGGUAAUGGAAGGCUAACAAAAGCUACACCGGCCACCGGGGACAAAAUCAUGGGUGUCAGACUGAACACUUCAAAAUGGCCUCCGGACGCGUGUCCGGCUAUCAAAACGUGUGUUAUAGGUCAUGCGAGCCCGAAAACAACCACACUGAACACCGGGUACAGAAACAUGGGGGAUGGACUGAAUAACUGAAAAUGGCCUCUAGACGCGUGUUCGGUCAUGAAAACAUGUGUUGUAGGAUGCGGGAGCCCGAAAACGGCCACACCGGCCACCAGGGCAUGGACCAAACAAUUGAAAAUGGCCUCCGGAUGUGUGUUCGGCCAUGAAAACGUGUGUUAUAGGUCACGGGAGCCCAAAAAUAGCCGCACCGACCACUGGGGAUGAAAUCGUGGGGGAUGGACCGAAGAUGUGAAAAUGGCCUCCAGAUGCGUGUUCGGCCAUGAAAACGUGCGCUAUAAGUCAUGUAAGGCUAAAAAUUGCUACACCGGGACUAAAGCAUCCCCCAUGAGUUACAAUAAAAGGAUUGUAUCCUCUACUCAGUCGGAUGUACUGUGUAGGUGAGAUGGUAAGGAAGCUAUGCGCGAGGUUUGAGGUUGUGGGUUGAAAUCCUACGCACCGCGCGCACACGCGCAUAUUUUGUGUGAAAAAUCAUGUGACUUGUGAUCGGCCAAGGAGAAGUGGGUGCAGCUGUGGCUUAAGUGGCUGAGGCACGCUGCCAUAGACAUCUCCGAUUUGCUCGAAGACUACCAAGACACUAGCAAUAACAAGAACUACUGCUCUUCCUAGCAGACUCUUUACAACCACUUUAAAGCUGUGCAUUUCUCAAUGUAAUUUCGUAGAAGGCAAUCGAUCCAACCAAGCGACUAAAUCAUUUGUUCUUGCCAAUGAUGUACAUCAGGUUUUCUAUAUGAAGGACAUGUCUAGCAAACCUAAGAUUUUAGAAGAAAAAGAAAAAUUAUGGGAGUCAAUAAUAAAUCAGGCCAAUCAGGAGAUUAUAGUAAGCUCGAUGGUAUGCCUCCAUUCGAUGUCGAAGUUGGCCCAAGCAUCAUGUUAGCCAAAGAUCAAAUGUUCGUGCAUUGCUACGGUAAAGAUCAAUUGUGUCUUUUAAACCCAUGGAAUUUUUUAUCUAUGUUUUUAUUACACUUAAUGGAUGUCUACACAUUUGCUAGAAAAUCAAAAUAAUUUUGACUUAAUUAUUUCUUUCAACUCAAAUACUCAUUAAAUUUCUACCUUUUUAUUUAAGCAAGAGAGUUGCUCAAAAAAUGGAUACGUAACCAUGUUGUAUCAUACAAAGCAACCACAUUUCACAUAUAGUCUGGCUUAGCAAACACCAUUGUUGUCUUAACAUAGUGUUCAUGAGUUAGUAGACAUGGAUCUAUUUCUAAUUGCAAGUAGUGCAGCGUACAACCAGCCUGCACCGCCGCAGCUCAAUAUGCGAUAAUUUUUUAUCUUCCCAUGUAAUUUUUCUACUCUAGUACAUAUUGAACUCCACAUAAAUGUCAUGUUCUUUCACGCCACAGACGGUUUCUAAAGUUUGGAACUAAAUAGAUAGCCAAAAAUUUUAAAAAAAUAUUUAUAUGGAUACAUGUAUGUUCUUUGCAAACUAACAAUAUUGUUUACAAUAUCAAAAGGAAUAUGGCUAUGAUCAUUGCCGCAUAUGGCAGGUGAUGGUAGAUGCCGUAUGGGGUUUCUUUAACUUAAUUGUAUAAUAAGCUGAAAUACAUUUUCUAUUUGCAAAUGAAUCAUAGCUGAAAGUGGUGGGAUUGUAGAACCGCCGGCCAUCGUGUCCUUGUAGGACCGCUGCACGAGCCUGUGAGCCACCAGCCACCAUGCGCCCAAGGGCCAUCACCACGCCAUAAGAGGAUGCUGUCUACCCGGUUUCGCGCGCCUGUGCUAGCUGCCUGAACCUGGGCCGCCGCCGGUCGCCUGCCCAGCCGCGCGUUGCGCCAGGGUUUUGCUGGUGACGACCAUGGCCUUCGCGAUCAAAUUAAAAAGUUAUCAACUGCAAAGUAUUAGGUCUCGUUGAGCUCUACAAUUUUGAUAUAAAGUUUCUAUUCAUCCGAGAUCAAAUAAAAAAUUUGAUACUCAAAGCAUAAAUCCAUUAAUCUAGUCUUGCUAAUCCUUACCACCAAAUAAAAAACUAGCAUGUGUUGUGUGUUUGUGACCCUAAACGAUCACAAAUGAAUAACUUAUGGGCCUUGCUAGCGCCCGGAUGUCCAGGCCGGGGCACUAGCAUCAGACCCACGAGUAGCCGUCCGAUCAGGUUCGACACCACUUCAGGAUCUGGCUUAAAAAGAAGUCCCACCGAAACAUUGUUCCAUGUUGCAUGAAGCAACCCACUACCGUCGCCAGGUCUAGAGCAAGCACCACCUUCAAAUGUGCUGCUCACCCUAGCUAAAUAGGGGCAUUAAAAUAUUUCUCGCAUAUCCUUCUCAAAUUAAACAAAAUCGCAACAUCUGAAAAUUUUUACAGAAAACCAUGAAACAUAUCGAUUAGAUAGAUGUAACAAGAUGGAAUAUGGUAUAUGCAACAUAUAGGUUCCGAAAAGCAGAUGAAAUAUUAUGUAAUGAUUCUUGAAACAGUCAAGAAAAAUAGAUGUAACAUCUAAAAUUAAGAAAAGAAGCUUUAUGCAAAUUGCAAAAAGCUGAAACAAGUGGUUGAAACAUUUCAAAUCACCAAAUGCCACAUUUGAAAUGACCAGAUGAAACAUCACGAAAUCAAUUGCAACAGUUGAAGAUGAAAACAUUCAAAUGCCUUGCCUUUCUCCAAAUUUGACCCUCCAAGCAUGAGUCCAGCCAUUUGCACAUUAGACCCUUGGGAGGAGCUCACCGGAGAACAACAAGACCGUGUUAUCCAACAAUUUUCAGAUCAAAUUGCAACAUAAAGAACAAAGCAUUGCAACAUCUGGCAUCACGAGCUACAACAGCAACCAGUUAGGAUCAGGAGAAAGAGGGCAAACACAAGCCUAACAAUGAGUUAUAUCCGGUUUAAACAAGGAUAAAAAUGAGUGUAUUUUACACUCAUCAUGUUGUCUUUUCGCAGCUGUACCGCCUUUAGCGUGUUGUAUUGUUCCUAACACCAAGUCUCCGAGGCCCGAAAAAAUAAGGAAAGUGGUAGCAGCUCAGAAAUCGACUAAGUUUCUUUCCCCCUUUGGCUUUCCUACUAGGAUUCGGAAUCCUCUUUCGUAUGACAAUCUUAAUGAUCUCCCAUAGUCCAAAACUCACAAAAACAUCAAAAAUCCACCGAGAAUAAAUUAAGUAAAAAAACAUGCACACACAGAUAAUAAUAGUAAUCAUGUUUCAUUAUGAUUGCUAAGGUCAGACACAAUACAUAAACAUAUUAGACUGAGUGACCCACCUCACCUCAGAGUAUGCACCAUGUCUGAGUGACCCACCUCACCUUGCCAGGACACUGGUCCUGCCCUCGUGGUUCACGCGCCCUCGUGGUUCAGCAGUGGUCAGUACACAAAUCUAGCUGCCAGUCGGAUCCAAGGGCAGGCAUUUGCAUUGUGGUUGUGUUUGAACAUGGAGAUGUCAUUAUUAUUGUCAGGCACCAUACAUCCUCUCUCAGUUUCACUCCGCCUCACACACGGAUAGCACACCAGGGACCCGACACCAUGCAUGCCGAUUUCAUAUUAUUAAUAUUUAAUUUUUUUAAUGGUUGUUGAAACUAUAUUGUUGAUAUUUUUAUACAUAAUUUACGACCUAAUUUGGAUAUAUUUUUGAAAUAUUCCGAAAUCUUAAAUUCACACGUCUAGAGAUACAGUUAGUCCAAUCUGAUGUUUCCGAUUAUAAAAAUGAACAUAAAGAGAUAGGAAGCGAGAGACGUGAGGGGGAAAGUUAAAUUAGGGCCUAAGGGGUGAAGUUAGGGUUCCAGGUGAGCUGUCAUCACUACGUGUUUUUAAUCGAAAUUGGAAUGUCAGCAAUCGUCAGAUCUUGAGCCAACAGUUGAGACUGCCUCGGAAUGGUAAUUAGGUCUGCGCGAGCUUGCAUUGUGGCCUUCCUUGAAACCUUGGACAUAGGUGUUAUAUUAUUAUGUUCUUGCCAGCACACAGCAGUGAAGGACGACACAGUUGAGAUGUGCAUCACAUUUUCUAUAUGAAGGAUAUGUUUAGCAAACCUAAGAUUUUAGAAUAAAAAGAAAAAUCAUGGGAGCCAAAGCGCCACAUAGUUCUUCCAGGUAAAAAAAAAUCAUCCACUGGACCAGCACAUAGUAACGAUCCAAAAAGUCCAUAUUAAGAUUUUUUGAUAGCAGAAAAAACAUAAAAUGUCUAAUAUUUGUAGUAUUAAAAGGAAAAAUAAUAUAUUCACGUGACCUUUUUCCCGUAGCAAGGCACCGGUACGUGGUCAGACUUAAUGCACGAUGCCUAAGCAUCCAUUGGGCCUACCCUCGUGUGGAUCACGCGCAACAGGACACGGCUCACAAGCUAUGAUGUGCAGCAGUCGCUCAGAUGGCUGAAAGGUACCCUUAAUUUGAAUGGUACCAUAUAUAUAUAUAUAUAUAUAUAUAUAGUAAACAAGACAAACCACCGUUGAUACUACUUUGCACUACUUGAUACAUAUAUCUCCACCAAAAGCGAGGCACGUGGGGAGGAGAGAUAUGUGGUUGAUGGUGCGGGCACGUGGCGAGUGCACCGUACGAAAAUUUUGCUCGUGUCGGACGACUGAUGUGAAGCAUUACCCAAUCUUAAUUAUCUCCCAUAAUCCAAAACUCACAAAAACAUCAAAAAUCCGCCGAGAAUAAAUUAAGUAAACCAUGCACACACAGAUAAUAAAAUUGCUAAUAAGGCCAGAGACAAUACAUAAACAUAUUAGACUGUUCAUGACACAUAUCACGGUGGAUAGUGUCUGUGUCCUUAUUACAAGCAAUGAGAGAUGCUUGUCACCACACACACGCGCACAGAUGCACAACAUACAUAUAGUUGAGACCAACAGAUGGAUCAACUAGAGGUCACCCCAUAUGGUGAACAAUUUAUUGGAGAUAAACAUUAACAUAACUUGGCCAUAGCUUGAAGCAUAGCAACAUAUGCCUAUGAACGGCGUUCAUGCUAUCAUUUUAGGCUUGUCCGCUUCUUCCAUCUUAGCAAGCACUUCCAUUUCUACCAUCUUAGAAGCAACUGUCAAAUUGAGAUAUGGAAAUCCCAUUAGCGCAUGAGUUAAUUUUGCAGUGAAAAUAGAGUACAAGAUAUCUUCAUGAUGUAAGUAACAUGCCUGAAGUUGUGAGAUGGGAAGUGAAGUCAACAAAUUACAUUAACGGAAAUGCAUGGAAGGCCACACAUACGUAUUAGUCCAUGAUAUGCUACAAAGCUUGUAUGUACAUAUAGCAAAUUAAAUGCAUUAAUUGAAUAGAGUGAGUUUAGUGAAUUUACCAGAAUCGUCCAGAAAACAUGGGAAACAGCAAGUGUUCUUGCAGACUGCGUCGGUGCCACCCACAGCAAUACAACCAAAACAACAUGCUUUUGCCCGAGCGGCUGCGCAGCAGCCGCACUCUGCCGCGGUGGCCGAGUUAGCAUUGAGGCUCAAGAUGACCAGGCACAUGAUCACCAUCAAAGCGGUGGUAGUCCUCUUUCCCUCCAUUGCCUCCUCUUGCUGCUACCUUCCUUGGUUACCUAGCUAAGUUUAUUGGUUUUGUGUUGAGAGGUGAUUCUUGCAUUGAAUGGACGUUGCCGCGGCUGCAAUUUAUAGGCAGCUGCGCUAUGUGAUGAUAUGGACAAGGUGCAAAUGGGUGGUCCUGAUAUGGAUAAGGUGCAUGCGAAUGGCUGUCUACUUGUAUAGUGGCGCUCCAAUGUACAUACGUAUGUAUCUUAUGCAUGUAUACAGUUGAUGGAUGUACAUGUUUGUUGCACAAAUUAUUCUGAACCAACUCUUCAUAACAGGUCUUUGUUACCAAGUAAUUUUACUUUUGCACGUUUCAGCCGAGAGGCAGAAGAGAAUAUUUUACAGAGAGGGCAGAGAAGGAGGUUGGCGGAGGCGCCGUGGUAGGGUUCCCCGUGUCGCCAAGAUUUUUGCAUUUUAGAUGUGUGUAUUGAUCACUUCGUCGUGCUCGCGGGGCCCAACUCCAGGUUGUACCCCAGCAGACCACGUUCUGUUUCUCUGCCUCCAAUGAGCAUGCAUGCCUCCACAAGGACCACAAGACUUAGUAAAAAAGCUAAACUUUGCAACACGAUGUAUACAGAACGUUUUGAAAUGUACUCUCGUUAGGCAUUCACCUCCUUAACAAUCACUGCGACUGUAAAAGAGGUACAUCGACGCUAGCUAAAUAAACCACUAUAAGAUUUAGCAAGAGAUCAUUUUAUACAAUCCUGUAACGAAACAAUUUGACAAUUAUAGUGUCCAUAUAUUUUGACAAAAAAACGUUUAAAUUAUAUAAGGAGGUGGGCCCGAAAACGGUUGGAUUACAUCGAGAACGUUUUGAAACAGUUGGCGGAGCAGGAUUCUGGCGUGGAGCAUCUACAUUGUCGCGCGCGCGGACUGCCGGAGUAGGCACGCUCGACUUGUCCCAUCGCCAGCUAAAUGAUUUAGUACCGGAUGGUCUCUAGUACCGGUUGGAGCUACCGUCCACCAGGAGCUUUUCUAGUUUGGAACUGGUACUAAUGCUAAUAUUAGUAUCAGGUCAAAAACAAUCGGUACUAAGGCUAGGGAUGACACGUCAUUUUUCUAGUAGUGUGUGCAAUUGGUUUUGUAAUUAGUCUAUAUUUAAUACUUCUAAUUAGUAUCUACACAUUUUAUGUGACAGGGACUGAACUUUAGUCCGUGGAACCAAACACCCCAUAAGUAUGUUUGGUGCUGUAAGGAUUUCGGUUUUAUUUAAUUUCCUAGGCAUUUAAAUUUCUUUCUAAAAUAAGUUAAUGAAUCAUAGGAUCUCAUUGUUGUAUUCAAGCUGGUGCAUUGAUUUUGCCUAUAAAACCCGCCGCGGUCUUCGCAGCCCCCAUCAAACCCUAGCGCCCUUGCCACAAGCUCAGCACCGCUGCCGCCCGAGCUCGAGCACUAGCACCCACCCAUCGCCGUUGCCUUCCCGUCGAUGGGAUCACCGCCCGGAGCUUCGCAUCGUGGUAAGGAAGCCGCCCGUGAAGAUCCCAUGUGCUCCUAUGCCCUCUACCGCGUCCCCGAGUUCCCGGAGUUGCUAGUCUCCCACCGAGCCGACUCUCCGAGCUUCACGUCACUGGUGCCGCUCCGAAGACCUAGUUCGGUUCGCCAUGCACCUCGCUUCAUCCUGAGCUAAACCCCAUAAUGAAUGGUGGUCGGAUGCUCGCCGCCACGGCGCGUCGUCUUUUCUGUCGCCCGUGCAUUGCCUAUCCCCUUCCAGCCGAUUGCAGCUGUCCGAUCGCAAACCGGUGGCCCUGAUCGGAUACCAAGGUCAAUACCGGUCGAACCGAGCCGUGCGCUGCUUUUGCAAGAAGGCCCCUGUUUUUCUCUCUUUUUGCACCUGAGGUCCUACGCAGUUCAAAAGUAAUAAGAUCUAGGUCCUUUUUCUUUUGUUUUAGCCCGUGUUCUUUUAUAAAAUCCCGCCCACUAUUCUGUUUGGUCUUUUGACGCGUUAGACCUUCUUUUUAUAUGUUUAAUUAGGUUUUAGGUCUCGAUUUCUUUAAGUUUAGCCCUUGAAAGUUUAGUUCUCUCGCAGUUAAGCCCCUGAACCUUGUUUAGCUCAUAUCUUAAGCGUUUUAAAUCCGUUUUAACAGAUUCUUGCGCCUAUAAGUUCAUGUUGACGCAUAGAUUAGUUGACUUAUACGAACCUUGCUGAUUCAGCUCCUUGAUUGUGCUUCAGAUCUCGCUAGGGAAGAAUAAUGGAUGGGCUUUGGUUGAGCUUGUAGAUCGACUUGCAGUUGCAGUGAAUGAGCAGAGGAUUGGCAGUGAAUAAGAUCAGGCCGCUGCCCUGCUUGGUAGGGAAAAUAUCUGCUUGCUACCAAGGCCUGUGACGCAUGGACCCCAUUGAGAGUGCAUUAUUGACAAGGACUUAAAGCCAAGGGCUCCACACCUGUCAUUGAUCAGCUGUCUGCUGGGCGCUGCAAGGAGGUAGUGCAUGUUUGACAUAAAGAAGCAGGUGGCCCAGGAUUUACGAAAAAUAAGGAUCUAUUUGAUACCCUUGCUUAUAUUUAGGGGCUAAAAGUUGCUUAUUUGAAGUUGCUUAUUUUUAAUCCUAGCUGUUUGAUUGCAUGGGCUAAAGAGCAUUGAAUGAGGUGGAUAUUGUCAUGUUUGCCUCUAAUGAUUGCUUCCCAUCACAUUUCUCCCCCCUCAUUCAACGAGGGAAGGAGGUGUAAAGUGCACCUUUUAGCCCCGAUAAGUAACCCUUGUGUUGUUUACGGGCUGAACAUAAGUAGCUAAAGUUUAGCUCCAAUAAACAAGAGUGUUUGGUAUUUUUGGGGUUAAAAGGGGCUAAACUUUAGCUGCUUAUGCAUAAGCAAGGCCAUCCAAAUAGGCCCUAAGUAUGUUUGGCGUUGUAAGUAGGUUUUAUUUAAUUUCCUAGGCAUUUAAAUUUCUUUCUAAAAUAAGUUAAUGAAUCAUAGGAGUUCAUUGUUGCAUUCACGCUGGUGCAUUGAUUUUGCCUACAAAACCUGCUGCCGUUUCCGCAGCUCCCAUCAAACCCUAGCACCCCCGCCACGAGCUCCAGCGCCGCUGCCGCCCGAGCUUGAGCACUAGCGCACACCCAUCGCCGUCGCCUUCCUAUCAAUGGGAUCACCGCCCGGAGCCCGUGUCAUGGUAAAGAAGCCGCCCGUGAAGAUCCCGUCCACUCUCGUGCCCUCUACCGCGUCCUCGAGUUCACCGGAGUUGCCAGUCUGCCACCCAGCCGCCUCUCCGAGCUUCAUGUUGUCGUUGCCACUCUAGCUGCCUCUCUGAAGACCUAGAUCGGUUUGCCGUGCACCCCGCUUCAUCCUGAGUUAAACCCCAUCAUGCCACGUCAUAGUAAGGAAGCUGCUCAUGAAGAUCCCGUGCGCUCCCGUGCCCUCUACCGCGUCCCCAAGUUCACUGGAGUUGCUAGUCCACCACCGAGCCGCCUCUCCGAGCUUCACUUCACAGUCGCUGCUCCAGCCACCACUCUGAAGACCUAGAUCAGUUCGCUGUGCACCCCACCUCAUCCUGAGCUAAACCCCAUGACGAACUGUGGUCGGAUGCUCAUUUUCGAGUGAAUUCCGGCGAGAUGGUCGCCCGCCGCCGCCAUCUCCAUCGCCCAUGCACCGCCUGUCCCCUUCCAGCCGAUGUCCGAUUGCAAACCGAUAGCCGAAAUCGGAUGUGGUCACCAGGAUUAAUACCAGUCAAACUAAGCCACGCGUGCCGCUUUUGCAAGAAGGCCCCUAUUUUUCCCUCUUUUUGCACUUGAGGUCCUAUGCAGUUCAAAAGUAAUUAGAUCAAGGUCCUUUUUCUUAUGUUUUAGCCCUAUUCUUUCAUAAAAUCCCGGCUGCCAUCCUGUUUGAAAUAGAUACGGUUAUAGAUAUGCAAACAUCUGCAUAUUUCCAACCGUAUCUCUUUCGAACGGGAGACGCCUAACUAGGUUACGUGACAUACGAACAUCAUACGGAUAGAGAGGGGUAGGAUGUCUCACCUUGCUAUCCUACAAAGUGACGACUCGAGGACAGUAAUGUAGCCUCUCCUUCAAAAAAAGAACAUACUACUAUCAAGUUAAAUUUUUGACAGCACCUCCCCUGCACGUGGAGGUUUCCAUAACCUGCAUCAAAUAAAACGGCACGAUGGCUGACAACCACAUCUACAGCACCAGAAUGGCACGAUGGCCGACUUCCACAUAAAGUUCUUAUACCUUAGAUUGCCAAGUCAAACAUCCUUUUCUAAUUUCUAAAACAAAAGCCCUCCCACCUCUCUAUCUUAUACUUUCCUAUUUACUAAUUGCUUUUGUAAUUUCUAAUUUCUAUUUCAUCCUACCACCUCUGUACCCUUUUCUCAUUUCUAAUUCCAAUUUUCUAACUUGAAGAGCAAAGAUUGAUUACUAGGAGGGGUGAGGGACGCCGGCCUAGAGAGGCGAGGGGACGUCCGGCGGCGGCGGGUGCGUCGGGGGUAGGAUGCCAGGGGCGGCUGCAGGGGCGCCGGGUUGGGGGCGGCCGGGAUCGAGGGCACCAGUAGCGGGGGCACCGGGCCGGGGGCGGCCGGCGGGGCGGGACGCCAGGGCCGGGGCGACGGGCGCCGGUGGCGAGGCCGCCCGGCCGGUGGUGGCCGGCGUGGCGCCUGGGCCGGGGGGGGGGGGCGGGCGGGGUGCGGCGCGGCGCGCCGGGGCAGGGCGCCGAGGCUGGGUGGUGGGGUACGGGGCGGCGGGCGGGGGGUGGGGGGAGGGUCGGCGGCGGGGCGCGGGGGCGGCCAGCGGCGACGGCGGAGGGCGUCGGUGGUGUUUCGGAAGUGAUACGGAGGGGGUAGAGAGAUUCGUUUUCGCGGCUGAGUGUUCGAGUCAGAAGGCCGUGCGGCUUAAGUCAGGUGGUUUGCCGAGUGCGCGCGAUCUGGCACUCGGCAAAGUCAGAAGUUUUGCCGAGUGUCAGAUCGCGGGCACUCGGCAACUGCAGCUUUUGUCGAGUGCCCUGGAUUCGGCACUCGGCAAAGUGAAGUUUUAAUUUUUUUUAAAAAAAUUUAAUCGGAACACGGGCGUGCCAGCGGGCCCGUGACAUACUUUGCCGAGUGUGUAGCAAAAACACUCGGCAAAAUAUUAUCUUUACCGAGUGUUUUCGCUAGGCACUCGGCAAAGUACACUUAUAUUUCAUGUACACUUUUUCAAUAACGUGUUUUACUAACCUUUUUCUGAUAUACUUGGGAAAAACCUUAUCAAAUUCACUCAACAAUGGAUAUAUGGUUUUUCUACUGACAUUAUUCCAUUAUUUCAUUCAGUUAUAGCUCAAAUUGAAUUUAUAUCUAUUAAAAAUCAAUAAUUGCAUUUAAUAAAUAAAAAAUACCAAACGGAUCUGAAAAAUUUCCAAAAUUUGACAUGAACCAAUCUAUGUUGUAUGUUGCCUGUACAAAAAGCUUUGAAGUCAAACCCCAAUUCAAGUGUCACUUGGACUCCAAAUCUUAUCGGAUCCUUUCUAACUUCUAUGAAUCCUUUCGGGAGAUGAGUCGGUUUGUAAGCAUCAUAUGUCAUAAAUUGGGCGAAACCUUCUCAAUUUUUUACCACAGCCUCCACAUAUAAUAUCAUGACACCUUGACAAAUCUUGUGAUUUUCAGACUUCGUUUGCUUUUUUUAGAAUUUAACAACCAUUCAACCACAUGUUCGUGAUCGUGUUUUCUAAAAAAAUGUUCAAAAUUUCUUUUCAUUUCCUGGUUGAGACCUCAAUCCGGAUUGAAUAAUAUGAAUAUGAUUUUUUCACUGAUUUUAAUCCAUUAUUUAAAUCACUUGCAGUUAAAUUUGACUUAAAUAAACAAAUUCCUAUUAAUGCUAUCAAUUCAUUAAAAAUAGCAAACAGAGAAAAAAUAGACCAACUUUUAAGAUGGAUUACCAAAUGUCAUAUGUGGGGAGUAGAAAAAGUGUGGAGAGCAGAGGUGGAAAAAAAAGUUUUGCCUUUGCCAAGUGCCUACACAAACACUCAACAAACUUUGCGGAGUGCCUAUUGAAAACACUCAGCGAACUUCUGAGUUUGCCGAGUGUCUGGAGGGAGCACUCGGCAACCUACUUAUUUGCCGAGUGUCCGCGUCGGACACUCAGCAAAGUACUAACGGCUGGCACACUCCCCUAACGGACGGCGCACGUGCAAGCCAUGUGCUGGAGAUUUAUCGAGUGUCAAAUCGUUGCCGAGUGUCGUGUGGAUGUUUGCCGAGUGUCUUAUUUGUGACACUCGGCAAAGCUAUUGUUUGCCGAGUGUAUUAUUUAUGCCGAGUGUCUUCCAGUAUACACUCGGCAAAUGAUGUCUUUGCCGAGUGCUCGACAUAAAGCACUCGGCAAAAAUUUUACACUCGGCAACAUUCCUGUUUCCGGUAGUGAGUGACCCGGGACUAAAGACCCCCGUUGUCUCUGAUUGCUUUAUUCCGGAUGGAUUUUCAGGAGAUUUGCUCCCUACCAAUAGGGACUAAAGGCAAGUUUUCCACUUAUAGCAAACCAGUUAGCCCAUUGUUGAUGGAACGCAUCACUAGAAACAGCUCGGGAUCCACUUGUCCAAUAAUCGAGAGGGCCUAUAUAUGGACCACGUGUGCGGAUCCCUAAUUAGGAAAAAAGAAUAAUGGAGUAGGACAUCUCCAUGCUCACCUAGUAGCCGCUGCUAGCUUGUGCGUGUGGAACACGAGUGCCGGCCCAGUUGGCGCUAAGACAUCGUACGUGCAUUAAGGCUACGAUCUCUUUCUUCUAACUCAUGCUUGUGCUAUUAUACAUUAUUGCAUGAUCAUCAAGAUAAGAUCGUAUAGUGACUGAGUGAGACAUGUAUGUACUAACAUGCAUUUAAGCCUCGAACUGUGUGUUGUUACGUGAGCUGCCUCCUCACCUCGCCUCUGAAUUAUUGAACCGUUUCCAACAGUGUUGGUCUCAAAUAAAUUUGACACCAAACAGAUUUAUGAAGAAGAGAGAAUAAUACUUGGAAUUGGAAAAAGUUUAUCUCUCUUUACAAUGGAGUAGGGCUCCCUUUUAUAGUGACCCAUAAGCCACUUUACAUUUGGAAAAUGUCCUUCCUCAACCACUACAUUAAUUCCUAGGAUAUGCUGUACAUAAAGGUCAUUUGAGGUAACGUGUACAAAUGAACUCUUCCACAUGGUCACGUUUCUCAUGCCUCCUGUUUUCCAACCUCGAGACAUCAUCUUCACGCCAAGUUGAUCAUCUAGCCUCGAGGCUCCAUCCACGAUCCAGAAUGAACGUCCAGGCUUGAGGCUCCUUCUUCGUUAAGCUUUGUUGAGAACUCAUAACCUCACAUAGUUCUCCUCCGAGUAUUGUUCCCGACUCAGAACACUCGAGGUUUAGCUCAGUUGGAGUUUAGCUAUUACUGUUGCUAGUCACCAGCCUCGAGCCCCUCCAGAAGCAAGGUGAUGCGAGGGUACGAGUUUUACUAUUAAAGGUGUUUCCAUAGAAUGUGCGAGGUUAAAGCACUUGCAGCAAAAGCGUGGAGCUGCUUUCAACCAGAGUGCAAUAAUGCAGCCGUGCCCAUCUUGGUCUUGGUCUCCGCCUGAACUAUAGCAGAUGCUGGCAGCGGUAGCAGGGUGGUCCAUUAUAUCUAUGGAUGGCAAUGGUCGGAUUCGGAUGGAAUCGAAUUCGAAUAGCACUUUUUACCACAUACUAAUUCAAAUCCGAAUUCGGAUUCGGAUGUUCUCGAAUGCGAAUGCAAAAUGGAUGGUUCGAAUUCGAAUACUUAGCGGAUUUUUGCAUAAUAUUAAUCGAAUAGAAUUCAUUAAAUUUAGCCAAGAAAUUAAAUUUUCUGAAAUUAAAUACUUUCCCUUCGCCCCAGCGGCGGCCUAACUCCCAGGACGGUGGCGUGCGGGGCCCGAGCAUCCCUGGCCUCUAGUGGCGUGGCGGGGCGGCAUCCAGCAGCAGCGGCGGGGCUCGGCCUCCGGUGGCGCGCGGCCAGCCCGACCUACCCGGUCAGAGGUGGCGCAGCGGUGCGCGGGCCUCCCCGACCAGAGCCGGUGGGGAGCGGUGCGCGGGGAGGACCUCCCCAGCCGGAGGUAGCAGGGCGCGACCUCCCCGGCCGGAGGUGGCUCCCUGUGGGGGCGCGGCCGUGACAGCUAGCGAGGCAAUAAUUGCUUCCGUACGCAGCAAUAAUUGCUUGUGCGACACCGUGUUAUUACUCUGGUACAGUACUCCCUCCGUUGCAGUACACUGGUCCAGGCGUCAGGACACUGCUCCUGCCCUCGUGGUUCACGUGCAUCAGGCCAGCAGACAAGCUAUGAUGUUGCCAACAGUGUUUGUUUGAACAUGGAGAUGUCAUUGUGAUUGUCAGGGACCCGACACCAUGCAUGCCGAUUUCAUAUUCUUAAUAUUUAUUUUUUUAAUGGUUGUUGAAACUAUAUAGUUACUCCAAUAUCACGUUUCCGAUUAUAAAAAUUAACAUAAAGAGAUCGGAAGGGAGAGCCCGCAUAAUGAAGCCGACGCGUAUAAUAAGCACUAGAGCCGGCAUUUAUACAAACGGGUACGCAUAGUAAAAACUAGAAUUUAUAAAUAAAUGAAGAUAUUCAAAUAUCUGGCUUACUUUUUUCAUUAAUUUUGCAUGAAUAAGGGAUGAUUCAUUAAUCAUUAUUGAACAAAUUGGCACACAUGCUUCGUGCCCGCGUUGUGAGCAUUAUGCGAUGCCACUGAGCUGCACCACCACGGUAGAGGGCCUGUUUGCGAUGCCACCGAGCUGCACCACCACGGCAGAGGGUCUGUUUGGGAAGGGGAAGUUAAAGUUUAACACCCCCCAUUUAACACCUUUUUAACAAAAUGGCUGCUAAACACUUGUGUUAAAAGAGUAGUGUUAAAAUUUAACACCUCUCUUUUCAUAAACACAUGGAGGGGGUGUUAAAAUUUGCUAAAUGUGUUAAAAGUGGUCCCCUCCCCACUUAUUCCUUGGUUGCCCCCCUCUCUCUCCUCCUCUCUCUCCUACCCGCCGCAUUUAAGAGCAUUAUUGAGGGGUAAUGCAGUCCUUUUCCAACAAAAGUGUUAAACUUUAACAACCCUUCCCAAACAUGCCACAAGCAACACCACCGGCUGACUGUGCUAGCGGGGAGCACCCUCACCGCCUGCCCGUGGGGACUUCUUCUGCCGGCCAUCGUGUCUUUGUAGGACCGCCGCGUGAGCCUAUGAGCCACCGGUGGCCGUGCGCCCAAGGGCCAUCACCAUGCCACCUGAGGAUGCUGUCUACCCGGUGCCGCGUGCCUCUGCUAGCUGCUUGCACCUGGGCCGCCGCUGGUCGCCUGCACAGCCACGCGUUACAGCCGCCCCCCUGCGCUGGGCCACCCCAUUUCGUGUUGGAAGAACUGCCACAGUCUCGCGCACUGGGGUUUUGCUAGUGACGACCAUAGCCUCCAAGAUCAAAUGAAAAAGUUGGUACUCAAAACAUACAUCCAUUAAUCUAGUCGUGCUAAUCCUUACCACCAAAUAAAAACUAGCAUGUGUUGUGUUUUUGUGACCCUAAACGAUCACAAAUGAAUAACUUAUGGGCGUUGCUAGCCUAUAAGUUAUGGGCGUUUGUGACCCUAGUCGCGCCGGGGUCUUGCUGGUGACAACCAUGGUCUUCGCGAUAAAGUAUUAAGUCUCAUCGAGUUCUACAAUUUUGAUAUAAAAUUUCUAUUCAUCCGAGAUCAAAUGAAAAACAAAUGAAAAAAUCCGAAGUAUUAGGCUUCAUCGAGCUCUACAAUUUUGAUAUAAAAUUUCUAUUCAUCCGAGAUCAAAUGAAAAAAUCCGAGAUCAAAUGAAAAGUUGGAACUCAAAACAUACAUCCAUUAAUCUUGAUAUAAAAUUUCUAUUCAUCCGACAUCAAAUGAAAAAGUUGGUACUCAAAAUAUACAUCCUUUAAUCUAGUCGUGCUAAUCCUUACCACCAAAUAAAAAAACUAGCAUGUGUUGUGUGUUUCUGACCGUAAACGAUCACAAAUGAAUAACUUAUGGGUGUUGCUAGCGUCCCGGACGCUAGCAUCGGACGCAUGAGCAGCCGUCCGAUCGGGUCCGACACCACUUCACGAUCUGUCUUAAAAAAAAGUCCCACCGAAACAUUGUUCCAUGUUGCAUGAAAUACCCCACUAUCCAUCGCCAGGUCUACAGCAAGCACCACCUUCCAAUCUGCUGCUCACCCAAGCUAAAUAGGGGCAUUAAAAUUGCAGAAAUAUGUCACAUAUCCUUGUCAAAUUAAACUAAAUCGCAACAUCCGAAAAUUUCUUACACAAAACCAUGAAACAUAUCGAUUAGAUAGGUGUAACAAGAUGGAAUAUGGUAUCCAACAUAUAGAUUCCGAAAAACAGAUGAAACAUUAUGUAACGAUUGUUGAAACAGUCGAGAAAUAUAGAUGUAACGAUUAAAAUUUAGAAAAGAAGCUUUAUGCAAAUUGCAAAAAGCUGAAAUAAGUGGUUGAAACAUUUCGAAUCACCAAAUGCCACAUUUGAAAUGGCUACAUGAAACAUCACGAAAUCAAUUGCAACAGUUGAAGAUGAAAACAUUCAAAUGCCUUGCCUUUCUCCAGAUUUGACCCUCCAAGCAUGAGUCCAGCCAUUUGCACAUUAGACCCUUGGGAGGAGCUCACCGGAGAACAACAAGACCGUGUUCUCCAACAAUUUUCUGAUCAAAUUGCAACAGACAAAACAAAGCAUUGCAACAUCUGGCAUCACGAGCUACAACAUCAACAAGUUAGGAUCAGGAGAAAGAGGGAAAACACAAGCCUAACAACCCCAAGACAAAACUGAUGUACUCAUCAUACAUCACGGCUUGCCGUGCACAGAGAUGAAGGCCGCCAAGCUCAAUCGAGACAGAGACGACGUGAUAGUGCUCCAGAUCGACGGUCCCCAUCAAUUGUUGCGUACACUGCCAAAAGCAAUGGAAGAAGAAGGGUCGUCCCUGCUCGACCUCCGUAGAUGAGCGCAGAUUGGGGGAAACCGUAUAGAGUGCCGCUGACAGCACAGGCGAGGGGGCUCAGGCUUGAUUCAGGGUGAGGGUAGCGGGUAGCAUGAGGAGACAGUCAGGUUUCAUAGGAGAGAGGCGGAGUAGAGAGCUCUGGUGACUCGGUGAGGAGGGUGCGGCACGGAGAAAGGUGUGUAGCUGAAGGAGCUACAUGGUUGGGGCGAGGCGAGCGUAGAGACUAGAGAGGGAAAAAAAGCAUGGGGAGGAGACGAUAUGUGGUUGAUGGUGCGGGCACGUGGUGAGCGCACCGUAUGAAAAUUUUGCUCGCGUCGGAUGACUGAUGUGAAGCAUUACCCAAUCUUAAUUAUCUCCCAUAAUCCAAAACUCACAAAAACAUCAAAAAUCCGCCGAGAAUAAAUUAAGUAAACCAUGCACACACAGAUAAUAAAAUUGCUAAUAAGGCCAGAGAUAAUACAUGAACAUAUUAGACUGUUCAUGACACAUAUCACGGUGGAUAGUGUCUGUGUCCUUAUUACAAGCAAUGAGAGAUGCUUGUCACCACACACACGCGCACAGAUGCAUGACAUACAUAUAGUUGAGACCAACAGAUGGAUCAACUAGAGGUCACCCCAUAUGGUGAACAAUUUAUUGGAGAUAAACAUUAACAUAACUUGGCCAUAGCUUGAAGCAUAGCAACAUAUGCCUAUGAAUGGCGUUCAUGCUAUCGUUUUAGGCUUGUCCAGCUUCUUUCAUCUUAGCAAGCACUUCCAUUUCUACCAUCUUAGCAGCAACUGUCAAAUUGAGAUAUGGAAAUCCCAUUAGCGCAUGAUUAAUUUUGCAGUGGAAAUAGAGUGCAAGAUAUCUUCAUGAUGUAAAUAACAUGCCUGAAGUUGUGAGAUGGGAAGUGAAGUCAACAAAUUACAUUAACGGAAAUGCAUGGAAGGCCACACAUACGUAUUAGUCCAUAAUACGCUACAAAGCUUGUAUGUACAUAUAGCAAAUUAAAUGCAUUAAUUGAAUAGAGUGAGUUUAGUGAAUUUACCAGAAUCGUCCAGAAAACAUGGGAAACAGCAAGUGUGCUUGCAGACUGUGUCGGAGCCACCCACACGAAUACAAAGCUGACAACAUGCUUGUGCCUCGUGGGAUACGCAGCAGCCGCACUGUGCCGCGGUGGCCGAGUUAACAUUGAGGCUCAAGAUGAACAGGCACAUGAUCACCAUCAAAG
RNAcentral lists this long non-coding RNA (41847 nucleotides) under Setaria viridis. RNAcentral's name for it is "long non-coding RNA (SVIR_LNC010032)". Lineage: Eukaryota; Viridiplantae; Streptophyta; Magnoliopsida; Poales; Poaceae. The record is from RNAcentral.